RNAcentral lists this ribosomal RNA (253 nucleotides) under uncultured bacterium. RNAcentral's name for it is "partial 16S ribosomal RNA". It matches the Rfam family "Bacterial small subunit ribosomal RNA", at positions 524 to 776 of the family's 1533-position model. The record is from RNAcentral.
UACGUAGGGCGCAAGCGUUGUUCGGAUUUACUGGGCGUAAAGGGCGCGUAGGCGGCGCGGUAAGUCACUUGUGAAAUCUCUGAGCUUAACUCAGAACGGCCAAGUGAUACUGCAGUGCUAGAGUGCAGAAGGGGCAAUCGGAAUUCUUGGUGUAGCGGUGAAAUGCGUAGAUAUCAAGAGGAACACCUGAGGUGAAGACGGGUUGCUGGGCUGACACUGACGCUGAUGCGCGAAAGCCAGGGGAGCAAACGGG